RNAcentral lists this ribosomal RNA (241 nucleotides) under uncultured bacterium. RNAcentral's name for it is "partial 16S ribosomal RNA". It matches the Rfam family "Bacterial small subunit ribosomal RNA", at positions 91 to 334 of the family's 1533-position model. The record is from RNAcentral.
CUAAGUGGCGGACGGGUGAGUAAUGUAUAGUUAAUCUGCCCUUUAGAGGGGGAUAACAGUUGGAAACGACUGCUAAUACCCCAUACUCCUUUUAUCUUAAUGAUAAUUGGGAAACGUUUUUUCGCUAAAGGAUGAGACUAUAUGGUAUCAGGUAGUUGGUAGGGUAAGAGCCUACCAAGCCAAUGACGCCUAGCUGGUCUGAGAGGAUGAUCAGCCACACUGGAACUGGGACACGGUCCAG